ACGCUUUCUCUUUAAUAGUUAAAUACUAGCCCUUCUUAGGUAUGGGUCUCACAUCUACAAUCAUUUCAUGAUCAAUUACAACAACAAAUACAUUGGAAUUACAUAAUUCAAAGGCAAAGGUAGAGGAAAUGGAAAACUAGCAAGUGACAAGAAUGGCCUGUGACAUGUCAUAUGAGGACUCCACAGUUGUUAUAAUUCAAGCGAUUAUGGUUAUAACGAUGGAAG
Molecule: long non-coding RNA, 225 nt
Organism: Cucumis melo (muskmelon)
Lineage: Eukaryota; Viridiplantae; Streptophyta; Magnoliopsida; Cucurbitales; Cucurbitaceae
Exons: 3
Source: RefSeq, a predicted model, not a curated record